Molecule: ribosomal RNA, 490 nt
Filed under: uncultured bacterium
Lineage: Bacteria
Description: partial 16S ribosomal RNA
Rfam family: Bacterial small subunit ribosomal RNA
Source: RNAcentral
GAUGAACGCUCGCUACAGGCUUAACACAUGCAAGUCGCGGGGCAGCAUGGGGGUUGCUUGCAAUCCCCGAUGGCGACCGGCGCACGGGUGAGUAACGCGUAUCCAACCUGCCCUUCACCACGGGAUAACCCGGCGAAAGUCGGACUAAUACCGUAUGUUGUCCAUUGACGGCCUCCGAUAUGGACGAAAGGCUUGGCGGUGAGGGAUGGGGAUGCGUCCGAUUAGCCAGACGGCGGGGUAACGGCCCACCGUGGCUACGAUCGGUAGGGGUUCUGAGAGGAAGGUCCCCCACACUGGAACUGAGACACGGUCCAGACUCCUACGGGAGGCAGCAGUGAGGAAUAUUGGUCAAUGGGCGUAAGCCUGAACCAGCCAAGUAGCGUGCAGGAUGACGGCCCUAUGGGUUGUAAACUGCUUUUAUGCGGGGAUAAAGUGGCCCACGGGUGGGCUUUUGCAGGUACCGCAUGAAUAAGGACCGGCUAAUUCCGUG